GCCCUUGUAGUAUAACGGCUUAUUAUACGGCCCUGUCGAGGCCGGGACGCGGGUUCGACUCCCGCCUGGGGCG
Molecule: transfer RNA, 73 nt
Filed under: Candidatus Woesearchaeota archaeon
Lineage: Archaea; Nanobdellati; Candidatus Woesearchaeota
Description: tRNA-Asp
Rfam family: tRNA
About the family: Transfer RNA (tRNA) molecules are approximately 80 nucleotides in length. Their secondary structure includes four short double-helical elements and three loops (D, anti-codon, and T loops). Further hydrogen bonds mediate the characteristic L-shaped molecular structure. tRNAs have two regions of fundamental functional importance: the anti-codon, which is responsible for specific mRNA codon recognition, and the 3' end, to which the tRNAs corresponding amino acid is attached (by aminoacyl-tRNA synthetases). tRNAs cope with the degeneracy of the genetic code in two manners: having more than one tRNA (with a specific anti-codon) for a particular amino acid; and 'wobble' base-pairing, i.e. permitting non-standard base-pairing at the 3rd anti-codon position.
Source: RNAcentral